RNAcentral lists this ribosomal RNA (485 nucleotides) under uncultured bacterium. RNAcentral's name for it is "partial 16S ribosomal RNA". It matches the Rfam family "Bacterial small subunit ribosomal RNA", at positions 29 to 507 of the family's 1533-position model. The record is from RNAcentral.
AUUGAACGCUGGCGGCAGGCCUAACACAUGCAAGUCGAGCGGAUGAAGGGAGCUUGCUCCUGGAUUCAGCGGCGGACGGGUGAGUAAUGCCUAGGAAUCUGCCUGGUAGUGGGGGAUAACGUCCGGAAACGGGCGCUAAUACCGCAUACGUCCUGAGGGAGAAAGUGGGGGAUCUUCGGACCUCACGCUAUCAGAUGAGCCUAGGUCGGAUUAGCUAGUUGGUGGGGUAAAGGCCUACCAAGGCGACGAUCCGUAACUGGUCUGAGAGGAUGAUCAGUCAAAAGUGAACAGGAACACGCGCCAGGCCCCAGACGGAGGGAGCCGGGGGGAAUAUUGGAAAAAGGGGCGAAAGCUGACUCCGCCCUUCCGGGGGGGGGGAAGAAGUUCUUCGAUUUUAAAACAAUUUUAGGUGGGGGGAAAGGGAAGAAAGUAAAUCCCUUGUUGUUUGGGGUUAACAAAAAAAAAAGCCCCCGACAAACUUGGUC